UACAGAGGGUGCGAGCGUUAAUCGGAAUUACUGGGCGUAAAGCGCACGUAGUCGGCUUUGCAAGUCGGGUGUGAAAUCCCCGGGCUCAACCUGGGAACUGCAUCCGAGACUGCAUUGCUAGAGUAUGGGAGAGGGAAGCGGAAUUUCUGGUGUAGCAGUGAAAUGCGUAGAUAUUGGGAGGAACACCAGUGGCGAAGGCGGCUCACUGGACCGGAACUGACGCUGAGGCGCGAAAGCGUGGGGAGCAAACAGG
Molecule: ribosomal RNA, 253 nt
Filed under: uncultured bacterium
Lineage: Bacteria
Description: partial 16S ribosomal RNA
Rfam family: Bacterial small subunit ribosomal RNA
Source: RNAcentral